Lotus japonicus is the source of this 1662-nucleotide long non-coding RNA. RefSeq lists it as uncharacterized. Lineage: Eukaryota; Viridiplantae; Streptophyta; Magnoliopsida; Fabales; Fabaceae. The record is from RefSeq and is a predicted model, not a curated record. The transcript is spliced from 5 exons.
UCACUUACCCAAAAACCCUAACCCUCUCGAUCUGUUCUCUUGGUUCCCUCUCUAUUCGCUGCAAUACGUCCUUCUCUCCCUCUCGUUCUCACUGCAAGUCAGUCCUCCUCUCCCUCUGCUUCUCAAUCGCUCUCUCUCUCCCUCUCCUUCGCAUGGGAGAAUCGCUCCUUCUCCUGCUCGGUGCCGCCCAUUCCACCGGCGCCGCUCCUUCCCUCACACGAUGAUGGUGGAAGAAUCUUCUGUUAUCUUCUAGAUACAUUUCGUUCCAGAUCUGUUUCUCCGUUUCCUUCGUUUCACUCGAAGAGCAGAUCGGUGACGAAGAUGAAAACAAAGAAGGUGACCCUCCCUGAGCACGCGACGGCGCGUCCUGUGGCGGCAAUGCGAAGAGUGAACACGGUGGCUAAGGUGGUGCCGCCCGUGCCAUUGCCUGCGCACCAUCUUCCCAACUCGUCCCGACUUGGAAGCUGGUUCCACUUUCUCUCUCUGCUGUGGUUCUGCCUCUCUUUAUUUCCUCGCAGGUGAUUCUAGCUUCUGGGCAAUUGGAUGAAGUUUACUAAAUCAUAUUAUUCAUUCAUUGGUAACUCUUGUGGUCACGCUAUUGAUUAGUGUAGUUUGCAAUUGGUUGAAUAAUUUAUGCACUAGAACUGUUUGAUUAAAUGCCUCACAGAAACCUUGUUUUGUAUCUCCUGAACAAUGCGGUUGAACUUAACUUGACUAUAUUUUCUUGAAUAUUUGUUUUACUAGUUGCUGCAUUAUGGAAAAUCGAAUUUAACCGAUGGCAAUACUUGAAAAUGCUGCCAACAAUGGUCAUAGUUUCUGUCUUUCAUUAUGUGUGAUUGGGAGAGGAUCUCAAUCUUAGUGUCUUAUAGACAAAGGUAAUCUCGAGAGUACAUCUUUGAUUUCAUAUUGUUCAUCUCAGGUACUAUAGACCAUUGAGAUGUUACUAGACUAGAGCAUGGCAGCACUGCAAUGGUUUUUAUACACGACACUUGUUUCUUGUUCCUAUAGAUUAGGAUGUCCAAGAAGUUUUUCCUAUUCCUAAAUCCAAUUUGUUAUUUUUCCUCUAGUAGGCAUCCAUAUUUGGUCUUUUUGUUUCAAUUGCUUUCUCAUAUUUUCAUUGUAGCUUACACACAUAAAACUUGUCUAAUGAAGCUGUGUUAUUGAUGUCUUAUUAAUCUACAAACUGUUUGAUGAAAUGCUUGACUGACUUUUUCUCCUUUUUCUUCAUGUUUUUGUUGAAUGUGUGAGUAUCACAAAGCUUGAAAAACGCACGGAGUCCAUAACUGAGGUAGCGCACCAGCCCUCUUUUGAAUUUGUGAAGAGUAAGGCAGGAGGAGAGCGCAUCCAAUAAAUGCUUAGAAUCUGGAACUGAGAUAUUCCGCCUGGUUGGGGGACUUUUGGGUUCUGGAUACUGAUAUAUGGCAAUGGUCUGAAUUAACUAGCUUUGGUGACUUGCCUUCAUCGAGGGAUUUCACUGCAGCUUCAGCAAUUGGAAACCGGAAAAUUGUUAUGUGUGGUGGAUGGGAUGGAAAAAAGUGGUUAUCUGAUGUUUAUGUCAUGGACACAAGUAUUUUAAGGAGGAGGUGGACCAAUUAUGGGCGAUUUAUGGGCAUUGAAGGGCCUUAUUGAAGAAGGUGUGUAUGUUUUUGCCAUCUUUAUAGG